Molecule: ribosomal RNA, 1372 nt
Filed under: uncultured bacterium
Lineage: Bacteria
Description: bacterial SSU rRNA
Rfam family: Bacterial small subunit ribosomal RNA
Source: RNAcentral
GAUGAACGCUGGCGGCGUGCCUAAUACAUGCAAGUCGAGCGAACGGACGAGAAGCUUGCUUCUCUGAUGUUAGCGGCGGACGGGUGAGUAACACGUGGAUAACCUACCUAUAAGACUGGGAUAACUUCGGGAAACCGGAGCUAAUACCGGAUGAUAUUUUGAACCGCAUGGUUCAAAAGUGAAAGACGGUCUUGCUGUCACUUAUAGAUGGAUCCGCGCUGCAUUAGCUAGUUGGUAAGGUAACGGCUUACCAAGGCAACGAUGCAUAGCCGACCUGAGAGGGUGAUCGGCCACACUGGAACUGAGACACGGUCCAGACUCCUACGGGAGGCAGCAGUAGGGAAUCUUCCGCAAUGGGCGAAAGCCUGACGGAGCAACGCCGCGUGAGUGAUGAAGGUCUUCGGAUCGUAAAACUCUGUUAUUAGGGAAGAACAAAUGUGUAAGUAACUAUGCACGUCUUGACGGUACCUAAUCAGAAAGCCACGGCUAACUACGUGCCAGCAGCCGCGGUAAUACGUAGGUGGCAAGCGUUAUCCGGAAUUAUUGGGCGUAAAGCGCGCGUAGGCGGUUUUUUAAGUCUGAUGUGAAAGCCCACGGCUCAACCGUGGAGGGUCAUUGGAAACUGGAAAACUUGAGUGCAGAAGAGGAAAGUGGAAUUCCAUGUGUAGCGGUGAAAUGCGCAGAGAUAUGGAGGAACACCAAUGGCGAAGGCGACUUUCUGGUCUGUAACUGACGCUGAUGUGCGAAAGCGUGGGGAUCAAACAGGAUUAGAUACCCUGGUAGUCCACGCCGUAAACGAUGAGUGCUAAGUGUUAGGGGGUUUCCGCCCCUUAGUGCUGCAGCUAACGCAUUAAGCACUCCGCCUGGGGAGUACGACCGCAAGGUUGAAACUCAAAGGAAUUGACGGGGACCCGCACAAGCGGUGGAGCAUGUGGUUUAAUUCGAAGCAACGCGAAGAACCUUACCAAAUCUUGACAUCCUCUGACCCCUCUAGAGAUAGAGUUUUCCCCUUCGGGGGACAGAGUGACAGGUGGUGCAUGGUUGUCGUCAGCUCGUGUCGUGAGAUGUUGGGUUAAGUCCCGCAACGAGCGCAACCCUUAAGCUUAGUUGCCAUCAUUAAGUUGGGCACUCUAAGUUGACUGCCGGUGACAAACCGGAGGAAGGUGGGGAUGACGUCAAAUCAUCAUGCCCCUUAUGAUUUGGGCUACACACGUGCUACAAUGGACAAUACAAAGGGCAGCGAAACUGCGAGGUCAAGCAAAUCCCAUAAAGUUGUUCUCAGUUCGGAUUGUAGUCUGCAACUCGACUAUAUGAAGCUGGAAUCGCUAGUAAUCGUAGAUCAGCAUGCUACGGUGAAUACGUUCCCGGGUCU